CGGAAAACUGGGGAUAAUACCCUAUAGACUAUGGAUGCUGGAAUGCUCGGUAGCCGAAAGGUCCGCCGCGGUAGGAGGGGUCUGCGGCCGAUUAGGUUGUUGUUGGGGUAACGGCCCAACAAGCCUGUAAUCGGUACGGGUUGUGGGAGCAAGAGCCCGGAGAUGGAUUCUGAGACACGAAUCCAGGCCCUACGGGGCGCAGCAGGCGCGAAAACUUUACAAUGCGGGAAACCGUGAUAAGGGAACUCUGAGUGCCCGUAAAAUCGGGCUGUCCAUCAGUUUAAAUAACUGGUGAAGAACGGGCCGUGCAAGACCGGUGCCAGCCGCCGCGAACA
This 335-nucleotide ribosomal RNA is filed under the name uncultured archaeon. Its description in RNAcentral is "partial 16S ribosomal RNA". It matches the Rfam family "Archaeal small subunit ribosomal RNA", at positions 133 to 473 of the family's 1478-position model. The record is from RNAcentral.